GAAAUGCGAUACUUGGUGUGAAUUGCAGAAUCCCGUGAACCAUCGAGUCUUUGAACGCAUAUUGCGCCCGAGGCUUCGGCCAAGGGCAUGUCUGCCUCAGCGUCGGUUUUACCCCUCGCUUUAUCAUCUUAGGAUGAAUCCUCCGGGCUUUUAAAGCGGAUCUGGCCUCCUCAACUUAGCAAUAGGUUGGGUUGGCUGAAGUGCAGAGGCUAGAGCUUGGACCCGAUAUGGGCUUCAACUGGAUAGGUAGCACCAGCCUCGGCUGACUACACGAAGUUGAUGCUUGCGGUCUUUGCUGGCGGCCAGCAGGAAACCUUCAAACCUUCGACCUGAGCUCAGGCAAGAUUACCCGCUGAACUUAA
Molecule: unclassified non-coding RNA, 362 nt
Filed under: uncultured fungus
Lineage: Eukaryota; Fungi
Description: sequence contains ITS1
Rfam family: 5.8S ribosomal RNA (bases 1-105)
Source: RNAcentral